This is an unclassified non-coding RNA of Pongo abelii (Sumatran orangutan), 297 nucleotides long. It matches the Rfam family "Metazoan signal recognition particle RNA". From Rfam's summary of the family: The signal recognition particle (SRP) is a universally conserved ribonucleoprotein. It is involved in the co-translational targeting of proteins to membranes. The eukaryotic SRP consists of a 300-nucleotide 7S RNA and six proteins: SRPs 72, 68, 54, 19, 14, and 9. NCBI's taxonomy places the organism in Eukaryota, Metazoa, Chordata, Mammalia, Primates, Hominidae. The record is from Ensembl.
GCCAGAUGCUGUGGUGCAUGCCUGUAGUCCCUGCUACUGGGAGGCUGAGGCAGGAAGAUCUCUUGGGCCCAGGAGUUCUGGACUGUAGUGCGCUAUGCUGAUCAGGUGUUCGCACCAAGUUCAGCAUCAAUAUGGUGACCUCCAGGGAGUGGAGGACCACCAGGUUGCCUAAGGGGGAGUGAACCAGCCCAGGUUGGAAACAGAGCACGUCAAAAUUUCCGUGCUGAUCAGUACUGGGAUCACGCCUGUGAAUAGCCUCUGCACUCCAGCCUGGGUGAUAUAGUUUGGCUGUGUCCC